This is a non-coding RNA of Zalaria obscura, 81 nucleotides long. NCBI's taxonomy places the organism in Eukaryota, Fungi, Ascomycota, Dothideomycetes, Dothideales, Zalariaceae. The record is from the annotation of a GenBank genome assembly.
GGCGCGGUGGCUGAGUGGUUAUAGCGUGUGACUAGAAAUCACAUUCCUUCGGGAGCGUAGGUUCGAAUCCUGCCCGCGUCG